UAAGUUCUUGAAAAUUAAAAAAUUUGGCGGUAUUUUAGUCAGUUCAGAGGAACCUGUCCUAUAAUUGAUGCUCCACGAUAAGUUAAACUUAUUCUUUUAGUUUGUAUAUCGUUGUUUAGAAUUUUUUAUCAGAAUUUAAAUUUUUUAGAUUUAUUAUAAUAAUAAAUUUCAAAUCAAGGUGCAGCUUAUGAAUAAGUAGAGAUGGGUUACAUUUAAAUAAUUUUUGGAUUAUAAUUUUAAAUUUUUAUAUGAAAUUGGAUUUGAUAGUAAUAUUAAAUAUUUAUUUAUUAUGAUAUUUGCUCUAAAAUAUGUACAUAUUGCCCGUCGCUCUCCUAUAAAAUGAGAUAAGUCGUAACAAAGUAGGUGUACUGGAAAGUGUAUCUAGAAUUACAAAUUAAAGCUUUUUUGAAGUUUCUUAUUUACAUUAAGAAGAAUACUGUUUAUUCAGUUAAUUUGAUUUUAUUUAUUUAUUAAUUUUUUUUAGUAAAAGAAAUUUUAUUUUAUUAUUUAUUUAAGAAAAAUUAUUUUUAAUUAUAGUUUAUUAUAAUGUGAAUGAAUAAUUUUUAAAAUUUUAAAGAAAAAUUUAAUUUUUGUCCUUUUGUAUCAGGGUUGAUUAAAUUUAAAUUAUUUAUUUUAAUUUUCUCGAAUUUAAAAGAUUUAAUUAAUAAUUUAUUUAUAUGUGUAAAAAUAUUUUAUAAUUAUUAGUUUGAAAUGAAACGUUAAUCGUUUUUAAAUAUAUCUAGUUUCUUAAGAAAAGAAUUUAAUUCUAUCAUUAUUUAUUUAAAUUUUUAUUUUUAAUUUUUAAGUUUUAAUGGUUAAUAUUUAAUGGGAUGAGCUUUUAAUUAUUAUUUUAAAAAAUUUAUAUUUUAUUUAGUAUUUUGUAUAAUUUGAAUUGUUAAUCAUAUAAUAAUUUAAUAUUUAUUUACUUUGUAAUAUUGAUUUAUAUAAAAUUUUAAGUUUUUUAUUAAGAAAAUAAAUUUAAUUUUCUUAUUUAUUUUAUAAUGAUUAAAUUAGUAAAUAAUUUUGUAUUUAAUUAUUUUUAGUAAGGUUGGAAAAGGAAUUCGGCAAAUUUAUUUUUCGCCUGUUUAUAAAAACAUGUCCUUUUGAUUAUAAUUAAGGUUUAAUCUGCUCAAUGAAAAUUAAAUAGCUGCAGUAUUCUAACUGUACAAAGGUAGCAUAAUAAUUAGUUUUUUAAUUGAAAGCUGGAAUGAAUGAUUGGACGAGAAAAUAACUGUCUCUUUACAAUUUUUUAUUGAAUUUAACUUUUAAGUGAAAAGGCUUAAAUUUUAUUAAAAGACGAGAAGACCCUAUAGAGUUUUAUUUUUAUAUAAAUAUUUUUAGUAUAAUUUGGUUUAUAAAAAUUUAGUUGGGGUGACUAGAAGAUUAAAAUAACUCUUUAAAUUUAAAAUCAUUGAUUUAUGAAUUGAAAAUCUUAAAUUAUAAAUUUAAAUUAAAUUACCUUAGGGAUAACAGCGUAAUUUUUCUUUAGAGUUCAUAUUAAAAGAAUAGUUUGCGACCUCGAUGUUGGAUUAAAAUUUAUUUUUGGUGUAGAAGCUAAAAAAAUUGAGUCUGUUCGAC
Molecule: ribosomal RNA, 1578 nt
Filed under: Photuris aff. lucicrescens KSH1
Lineage: Eukaryota; Metazoa; Arthropoda; Insecta; Coleoptera; Lampyridae
Description: partial 16S ribosomal RNA
Source: RNAcentral